RNAcentral lists this small RNA (121 nucleotides) under Streptomyces subrutilus. RNAcentral's name for it is "Streptomyces-metK RNA". It matches the Rfam family "Streptomyces-metK RNA". Lineage: Bacteria; Bacillati; Actinomycetota; Actinomycetes; Kitasatosporales; Streptomycetaceae. The record is from Rfam by way of RNAcentral.
GCGAGACGGGUGGACCGGCGAACGGUGGCAACCGAUAAACUGCAGUCGGAACGUGAUCAGGCGCAGCCUCUGGUGUGGUUCCAACAAAUGAUCAGCCAGCAGCCGCUGCAACCCCAGGGAG